This is a long non-coding RNA of Mustela erminea (ermine), 361 nucleotides long. RefSeq lists it as uncharacterized. Lineage: Eukaryota; Metazoa; Chordata; Mammalia; Carnivora; Mustelidae. The record is from RefSeq and is a predicted model, not a curated record. The transcript has 3 exons.
CAGAGAUCAAGAGUUGUACAUUCUACCAGAAGAGCCAGCCAGAUCCUUAUGAGGACCUAGGAAAAUCUGAUGAUUCUUCUAAGAAACUGGGCUACAGCAAGGAAAAAACCCAGCGGAGAGAAGGUUAAGUUUUUACAAUGGAGAUGUACGUGAAGAAGAAAACUAACAAUUGGGAUAAAAUACGUAAGAAUGAUGGGUCACCUAGAGAUGUCAACAAAAAGAAACACUAGGGAGGUCCAGCGCUGGAACCAAAAAAGGAAAACAAAAUGAGGGUACUAGAACAGAAUUCCACCAAAGACAUACAUCUGUAACACAACUAAAAUUUUUUUAUUUCCACGCUGAAUCCCUACGUUGUAUAUCU